Molecule: non-coding RNA, 172 nt
Organism: Pelobates cultripes (western spadefoot toad)
Lineage: Eukaryota; Metazoa; Chordata; Amphibia; Anura; Pelobatidae
Source: the annotation of a GenBank genome assembly
GCUGACAUGUCCCGGCCAAUCUCCAGCAGACCCUCCCUCCCAGACCCUCCUACUUCCUGGACAGCAUCCAUGGGAGGGUCUGGGAGACAUGGAUGUUGAAACAUGGAUGCUGUCCAGGAAGUAGGAGGGCCUGGGAGGGAGGGUCUGAUGGAGAUUGGCCGGGACGUGUCAG